Molecule: long non-coding RNA, 1573 nt
Organism: Populus euphratica (Euphrates poplar)
Lineage: Eukaryota; Viridiplantae; Streptophyta; Magnoliopsida; Malpighiales; Salicaceae
Exons: 2
Source: RefSeq, a predicted model, not a curated record
UUAUAUUUAAAAAAUAAUUUAAAAAAAUAUUAUUUUUUUAAGUUUUCAAAUGAUUUUAAUGGCUACAGCACAAACAAUAGCCACCGAAAAAAAGGCAAUGUCAGGAGACCCACCUAGAGUGCUGGCCAAGAACAGCAUCAGGGAACGGGAAAACAAGGAACCAGAAAAGCCGGCGACGAAGAAGAAACCUACCAACGAGAAACAACCGCCGCAAGAAACGGAGUCCAACAACAAGAACAAGAAGAAAUGCGGGAGUGGAAAAUUCGUAGUUUAGAGACAAAAGUCCAUGAAUGAUUCCUGCUCCUCUGACGCCUCGUCGGAACACUCGUCUCCCCUCAGCCGGGAGUCGUCAUCGUCCUUGUCGUGGUCCAGUGGGAGAAUGGCUGUAAGAAGGAUUGCGGUGGUGAAGGAAGAAGCAAUGUGGUGGUGGUGGUGAGAGUGAAGUACUUACUAGUGGGGGAUGAUAGUACUGAUAACAUUCAACUUCAAAGUGAAAAAUAGGUGUCCUGGGUUACAUCUACUACUGGGAAGUCAUUUUGGAUUUUGAUCCAAUUGCUAAUGAGAGAAAGAUAGCACUUCCAAAUGCUCAAACUUUCUUCCUACUGUCAGAGCUAAAGUUCCGAUCAAUCGUUGAAAAUGCUCAUCAAAUGUGCAAGGUGGAGACAUGAGCUUUUCUAUUCAUUUCUUGCGUGUUUGAUUAAUUCAUGUUGCAAGCCUAAUAUUCGACUCCCCUUUUUUUUUUGUGACUUUUGUUAAUAACUCAUGGUAAAGAGAGCUCUGGGCUCUGUAUAAUACUGUUGAAGAUUGUCCCAACCCAUGACCUCCAAACUGCUGUAAACUCGCAGCUUGUUGUUGAUGCUGCAGUUCAUAGAUGAGUUUGGCUCUUUUAUUAAACACACCUCGAACUUUGUCAUCCAUAAGCCAAUUCCGAUAUUCCCACCAAGUUCCAGUCAAGACUCCAAAAGCAGAGCUCAUAAGGAAGGACAUGGCAACAAGAGGGUUUUGAAGUGUUAGUCCAACAGCUAUAUACUAAUUCAUGCAAGCGGCUGGACCAUCUCAUAAGUUGCUUCAGAUUCCAAGUGGACCACCAAGGGAGAAGCAAGGGUAAAGGAUGGCUAUCUUGAGGCGAAGACCAAAGUGAAAGAAAUUGAGGAUUCAAUGAAUGCUGUAUUAUCUGGUGGUGCAAGUAAAUUUACAUGUUGAAUCGACCUGGAUGUAGUGACUUUUCCUUGUGGAAUGGGAAACUGAAUGGAUGGGAUGUUAGAAUAAUCUGUGUGAUAAUGUCUUCGCUUCCACGUCUCAAAUGGUAGGAUUCAAUUUUAUUCAUGGAAUGUCCAUCUUGGUCCAACUAAUUUUCUGUGAUUGAAAGAGACUGCCGUGCUACUUUAGAUUUUUGAAGUCGUAAUCAAGUUCUGCUCACGUAAAAUGAUUCAGUGAAUGCAGUUAUUGCGACAAAAAAUUCACUCACGGUUACAUGAACAUUUAAUGUCGGUAUUUCAAGUUCUAUGUUCCUUUCCUUUUCAAGGUUGAGAAUAGAUUCUUGAAUUAUUGUAGUCAAAUAAGCUUUCCGACA